GCUUCUAUAUCCAGACUGGUAAGGCCUUACACUAGUAUUUUGCAGUCUAGCAGUUUGAGGUGGCUGGAA
[Ashbya] aceris (nom. inval.) is the source of this 69-nucleotide non-coding RNA. The record is from the annotation of a GenBank genome assembly. Lineage: Eukaryota; Fungi; Ascomycota; Saccharomycetes; Saccharomycetales; Saccharomycetaceae.